GGGAUAGUUUAAUUGAUAAGAGCAUGAGACUCUUAAUCUCAGGAUCAUGGAUUUGAGCCCCAUGCAGUGGCAGAGCUUCA
This is a non-coding RNA of Podarcis lilfordi (Lilford's wall lizard), 80 nucleotides long. The record is from the annotation of a GenBank genome assembly. NCBI's taxonomy places the organism in Eukaryota, Metazoa, Chordata, Lepidosauria, Squamata, Lacertidae.